CUCGCCUACAGCACAGACUGUCUAUAGUAAAGUUGCCGAAGAGAUUCUAAACGUAUUUGUAAGUACGUGGUCUUUACUAGUUAACCGUAUCUUUAUUGAUGCGGUUAUUUUUUUAUG
RNAcentral lists this small RNA (117 nucleotides) under Staphylococcus phage StauST398-3. Its description in RNAcentral is "DUF3800-I RNA". It matches the Rfam family "DUF3800-I RNA". Rfam says of the family: Actinobacteria, Firmicutes, Fusobacteria, Proteobacteria (1 example), Tenericutes (2 examples). Terminator (Clostridia) The record is from Rfam by way of RNAcentral. Lineage: Duplodnaviria; Heunggongvirae; Uroviricota; Caudoviricetes.